GGCCAUAUCACGUUGAAACACUAGUUCUCGUAAGAUCAACGACAUUAAGCAACGUCGAGCCUGGUCAGUACCUAGAUGGGUGACAGCUUGGGAAUACCAGGCGCUGUAAG
Acanthosepion pharaonis is the source of this 110-nucleotide non-coding RNA. The record is from the annotation of a GenBank genome assembly. Lineage: Eukaryota; Metazoa; Mollusca; Cephalopoda; Sepiida; Sepiidae.